AAAUUGAAGAGUUUGAUCAUGGCUCAGAUUGAACGCUGGCGGCAGGCCUAACACAUGCAAGUCGAGCGGUAGCACAGAGAGCUUGCUCUCGGGUGACGAGCGGCGGACGGGUGAGUAAUGUCUGGGAAACUGCCUGAUGGAGGGGGAUAACUACUGGAAACGGUAGCUAAUACCGCAUAAUGUCGCAAGACCAAAGUGGGGGACCUUCGGGCCUCAUGCCAUCAGAUGUGCCCAGAUGGGAUUAGCUAGUAGGUGGGGUAACGGCUCACCUAGGCGACGAUCCCUAGCUGGUCUGAGAGGAUGACCAGCCACACUGGAACUGAGACACGGUCCAGACUCCUACGGGAGGCAGCAGUGGGGAAUAUUGCACAAUGGGCGCAAGCCUGAUGCAGCCAUGCCGCGUGUGUGAAGAAGGCCUUCGGGUUGUAAAGCACUUUCAGCGGGGAGGAAGGCGUUAAGGUUAAUAACCUCAUCGAUUGACGUUACCCGCAGAAGAAGCACCGGCUAACUCCGUGCCAGCAGCCGCGGUAAUACGGAGGGUGCAAGCGUUAAUCGGAAUUACUGGGCGUAAAGCGCACGCAGGCGGUCUGUCAAGUCGGAUGUGAAAUCCCCGGGCUCAACCUGGGAACUGCAUUCGAAACUGGCAGGCUAGAGUCUUGUAGAGGGGGGUAGAAUUCCAGGUGUAGCGGUGAAAUGCGUAGAGAUCUGGAGGAAUACCGGUGGCGAAGGCGGCCCCCUGGACAAAGACUGACGCUCAGGUGCGAAAGCGUGGGGAGCAAACAGGAUUAGAUACCCUGGUAGUCCACGCCGUAAACGAUGUCGAUUUGGAGGUUGUGCCCUUGAGGCGUGGCUUCCGGAGCUAACGCGUUAAAUCGACCGCCUGGGGAGUACGGCCGCAAGGUUAAAACUCAAAUGAAUUGACGGGGGCCCGCACAAGCGGUGGAGCAUGUGGUUUAAUUCGAUGCAACGCGAAGAACCUUACCUGGUCUUGACAUCCACAGAACUUUCCAGAGAUGGAUUGGUGCCUUCGGGAACUGUGAGACAGGUGCUGCAUGGCUGUCGUCAGCUCGUGUUGUGAAAUGUUGGGUUAAGUCCCGCAACGAGCGCAACCCUUAUCCUUUGUUGCCAGCGGUUAGGCCGGGAACUCAAAGGAGACUGCCAGUGAUAAACUGGAGGAAGGUGGGGAUGACGUCAAGUCAUCAUGGCCCUUACGACCAGGGCUACACACGUGCUACAAUGGCAUAUACAAAGAGAAGCGACCUCGCGAGAGCAAGCGGACCUCAUAAAGUAUGUCGUAGUCCGGAUUGGAGUCUGCAACUCGACUCCAUGAAGUCGGAAUCGCUAGUAAUCGUAGAUCAGAAUGCUACGGUGAAUACGUUCCCGGGCCUUGUACACACCGCCCGUCACACCAUGGGAGUGGGUUGCAAAAGAAGUAGGUAGCUUAACCUUCGGGAGGGCGCUUACCACUUUGUGAUUCAUGACUGGGGUGAAGUCGUAACAAGGUAACCGUAGGGG
This 1515-nucleotide ribosomal RNA is filed under the name Klebsiella pneumoniae. RNAcentral describes it as "bacterial SSU rRNA". It matches the Rfam family "Bacterial small subunit ribosomal RNA". The record is from RNAcentral. Lineage: Bacteria; Pseudomonadati; Pseudomonadota; Gammaproteobacteria; Enterobacterales; Enterobacteriaceae.